GGGGAAUUUUGGACAAUGGGCGCAAGCCUGAUCCAGCCAUGCCGCGUGCAGGAUGAAGGCCUUCGGGUUGUAAACUGCUUUUGUACGGAACGAAAAGACUCCUUCUAAUAAAGGGGGUUCAUGACGGUACCGUAAGAAUAAGCACCGGCUAACUACGUGCCAGCAGCCGCGGUAAUACGUAGGGUGCGAGCGUUAAUCGGAAUUACUGGGCGUAAAGCGUGCGCGGGCGGUGAUGUAAGACAGAUGUGAAAUCCCCGGGCUCAACCUGGGAACUGCAUUUGUGACUGCAUCGCUGGAGUGCGGCAGAGGGGGAUGGAAUUCCGCGUGUAGCAGUGAAAUGCGUAGAUAUGCGGAGGAACACCGAUGGCGAAGGCAAUCCCCUGGGCCUGCACUGACGCUCAUGCACGAAAGCGUGGGGAACAAAC
This 425-nucleotide ribosomal RNA is filed under the name uncultured bacterium. RNAcentral describes it as "bacterial SSU rRNA". It matches the Rfam family "Bacterial small subunit ribosomal RNA", at positions 356 to 773 of the family's 1533-position model. The record is from RNAcentral.